CAGCCGCCACGGGAAUACGUAGGGUGCAAGCGUUAAUCGGAAUUACUGGGCGUAAAGCGUGCGCAGGCGGUUAUAUAAGACAGAUGUGAAAUCCCCGGGCUCAACCUGGGAACUGCAUUUGUGACUGUAUAGCUAGAGUACGGCAGAGGGGGAUGGAAUUUCGCGUGUAGCAGUGAAAUGCGUAGAUAUGCGGAGGAACACCGAUGGCGAAGGCAAUCCCCUGGGCCUGUACUGACGCUCAUGCACGAAAGCGUGGGGAGCAAACAGGAUUAGAUACCCGAGUAGUCCCUGUCUCUUAUAC
This 301-nucleotide ribosomal RNA is filed under the name uncultured bacterium. RNAcentral describes it as "partial 16S ribosomal RNA". It matches the Rfam family "Bacterial small subunit ribosomal RNA", at positions 509 to 807 of the family's 1533-position model. The record is from RNAcentral.